Molecule: non-coding RNA, 182 nt
Organism: Schistosoma curassoni
Lineage: Eukaryota; Metazoa; Platyhelminthes; Trematoda; Strigeidida; Schistosomatidae
Source: Rfam
UUCGCUUCUCGGCUCUCUGAGCUAAGAUCAUGUGUAUUAUCUCUUCUUUGCAGUGUAAUUUCUGCAACGGUCUCUAAACUGAGACCAAUGAAACUACCUGUAUUUUUCACCUCCGGAGCUUGCUCAACCCCGUCCACAGGUCAGCCUCGUAUUGCAUUACCUCGAGGAUUGGCCCAUUAGGU